CAAAGAUGCAAUGCAAAUUUUUUCUUUUUUUUUUUCUUUCUUAAUUUGUCUUGAUAUCUCAACAGGAAAACUAAGUUUACUGAUGCAAGACUAGGCCUUUUGAGGAAACCUCUGCAAAUACUGCACAGUUCAGUUAAGAGGAGAAACCCCAGAACUGAUGAGAAUUUGCAGUAAUUUCAUAACUGCAUUUAAUUAAGGUGAAGCUCCUGCUCAUCUGCCCUGAACUCGGUCUUUUCAUUUUAAUAUGGGGGAAGUUUGUGCCCACCUGUAGCAACAUCUAGGUCACUUAAGGGUGUUGUAGAAUCACACACGGGUGUUUGGUUUUUCCACUCCUUUCUUCUUUAUCCCCAAUAGUGGAAAUUAUUCAUUAUAUUUUUUUUUAUUUUCUUUUGUCUGUGCACAUUUCACUAUUAACUGUGUUGCUAGUUAAGGUUUGCCAUGGCUCAGAUUUGUGAUGCUUUCUCUUAUAGCCAGGAAUUUAAAUUUUGUUUAGACCGGUCUUGGUAUUAAAAUUAACAAAUGCAGGACUGUGAAGUAUGAGAGUUCUGACUGGCUUGCAUGUGUAAACUAUGUAUCCUCCAUCCCAUCCAACCAGCCCCAGGGAAACUUAUAGAUUGGUAAUUGCCUUCAGCUACCAGCAUUAUCUCCAUAUAAAAGAAAAGGCACACUAGUGUGACCUGGUAACAGUCCCAGAACUGCCUUCUAUUCACAAUAUAUACAAAUUUUCUGUUUUGAGGUUUAGUGUUGUAUCCAACUAAAUCAGGCUUUUUGUAGGUCUUAAAGCAACUGAGACUGUGGCGUGAUGAACCUUUUACUAGCAGCAUGGACUAGAAUAUGUAUUGUCUGUUUUAAAUAAAUAUCCUCCUUGCAGACUAAUCUAUAAUUCUGUCUCAACCUUUUUCAAGUAGAGAAAUAGGAUUCCC
Pelobates cultripes (western spadefoot toad) is the source of this 923-nucleotide non-coding RNA. NCBI's taxonomy places the organism in Eukaryota, Metazoa, Chordata, Amphibia, Anura, Pelobatidae. The record is from the annotation of a GenBank genome assembly.